This 459-nucleotide ribosomal RNA is filed under the name uncultured bacterium. RNAcentral's name for it is "partial 16S ribosomal RNA". It matches the Rfam family "Bacterial small subunit ribosomal RNA", at positions 339 to 795 of the family's 1533-position model. The record is from RNAcentral.
CUACGGGCGGCAGCAGUGAGGAAUAUUGGUCAAUGGGCGCGAGCCUGAACCAGCCAUCCCGCGUGCAGGAUGACGGCCCUAUGGGUUGUAAACUGCUUUUCUAUGCCAAGAAGCCUGAUUACGUGUAAUCAGUUGCCGGUAGCAUAGGAAUAAGCAUCGGCUAACUCCGUGCCAGCAGCCGCGGUAAUACGGAGGAUGCAAGCGUUAUCCGGAUUCAUUGGGUUUAAAGGGUGCGCAGGUGGGCUUGUAAGUCAGUGGUGAAAUGCUGCCGCUUAACGGUAGAACUGCCAUUGAUACUGCGAGUCUUGAGUAUGGUUGAGGUAGGCGGAAUGUGUUGUGUAGCGGUGAAAUGCAUAGAUAUGACACAGAACGCCAAUUGCGAAGGCAGCUUACUAAGCCAUUACUGACGCUGAGGCACGAAAGCGUGGGGAGCGAACAGGAUUAGAUACCCCGGUAGUC